RNAcentral lists this ribosomal RNA (493 nucleotides) under uncultured bacterium. RNAcentral describes it as "partial 16S ribosomal RNA". It matches the Rfam family "Bacterial small subunit ribosomal RNA", at positions 28 to 506 of the family's 1533-position model. The record is from RNAcentral.
GACGAACGCUGGCGGCGUGCUUAACACAUGCAAGUCGAACGGAAAGGCCUGCUUUCCCUUGUGGAUUGCGGGUACUCGCGUGGCGAACGGGUGAGUAACACGUGAGUGAUCUGCCCCCAACUUGGGUAUAAGCCUGGGAAACUGGGUCUAAUUCCCGAUAGGACUGCAGGGUGGUGCCUGUGGUGGAAAACGAUUUUCUAGUGGUUGGGGAUGAGCUCGCGGCCUAUCAGCUUGUUGGUGGGGUAAUGGCCUACCAAGGCGGCGACGGGUAGCCGGCCUGAGAGGGUGGACGGCCACAUUGGGACUGAGAUACGGCCCAGACUCCUACGGGAGGCAGCAGUGGGGAAUAGUGCACAAUGGGCGGAAGCCUGAUGCAGCGACGCCGCGUGGGGGAUGACGGCCUUCGGGUUGUAAACUCCUUUCGACCGCGAGGAAGCCACCUGGUUGGAAGGGUGGUGACGGUAGUGGUAGAAGAAGCACCGGCUAACUACGU